Molecule: ribosomal RNA, 180 nt
Filed under: uncultured Glomeromycotina
Lineage: Eukaryota; Fungi; Glomeromycota
Description: partial small subunit ribosomal RNA
Source: RNAcentral
GGAUCAAUUUAUUGGUCGUGCUAUUGUACGUACUGGUAUUAUUGAUUCCUACCUUCUGACGAACCAUGAUGUCAUUAAUUUGGUGUCAUGGGGAAUCAGGACUGUUACUUUGAAAAAAUUAGAGUGUUCAAAGCGGGCGCACGCUCGAAUAGAUUAGCAUGGAAUAAUGGAAUAGGACCU